CCUACGGGUGGCUGCAGUCGAGAAUAUUCCGCAAUGCACGAAAGUGUGACGGAGCGACGCCGCGUGCCGAAAGAAGGCCUUCGGGUUGUAAACGGCUUUUAUGAGGGACGAAUUUUGACGGUACCUCAUGAAUAAGGGGUUGCUAACUCUGUGCCAGCAGCAGCGGUAAUACAGAGACCCCAAGCAUUAUCCGGAUUUAUUGGGCGUAAAGGGUGUGUAGGUGGUUUUGUAAGUCAUUUGUUAAAUCUUCAGGCUCAACCUGGAGGCUGCAGGUGAUACUACAAGGCUAGAGUGCGGGAGAGGUAAGCGGAAUGCCCGGUGUAGCGGUAAAAUGCGUUAAUAUCGGGUAGAACACCAAAGGCGAAAGCAGCUUACUGGAACGUCACUGACACUGAAACACGAAAGCGUGGGUAGCGAAAGGGAUUAGAUACCCUUGUAGU
Molecule: ribosomal RNA, 440 nt
Filed under: uncultured bacterium
Lineage: Bacteria
Description: bacterial SSU rRNA
Rfam family: Bacterial small subunit ribosomal RNA
Source: RNAcentral